CUGGGGCUCACCUGAUAGUCUAAACCAGGAACCCAGUAGAGAUCUGCUGUCUCUGCCUCCCCUGAGCCGCCACACCUGGCUUUUCAUCUCUCUGAGUGGUGUCACAGUGUGAAUGUGUUGUUGCAAAGUUCAUGUGUUGGAGACUGAUCACCCGACGCAACCACACAGAGAAGCAUGACCUUUACCAGAUGAUGAGUCGGUCCGGCGCCCUUGGCCUCCAGAGCACAUCCACACGCCCCCAUUUGGGGACUGGAUUUCUUGUCUUUGGAGUAACUUUCUGGCACAUCAUCAAUUUUGGUGUGAGCUGAGACUGACAGUCACCUGGGGCUGGACCCUCCUGAGUGAAAAUUCCAAUGCUUUCCAGAACCACACUGUGAACACGCCCCAUCCCCUGAAGAACCGAAGGGAAAAAAUAGAAUUUUCUCCUCCUUCUAAGGAAACGAGGCCAAAAUCACAGAAAACCACACAGGUAGACACGGCAGUUACGACUCCUGCUUCCAAAAGCUUUGUAGCCUUUGGAACAAUUCAGUAAGGAGUCUUUUAAUCUACUAAAGGAUUAAGAACCUGCCCUAGUUAGGUAAUGACCCAGUGCCAAGCAAAACCGGGUGGCCUCCAGCAGCAGCCUGGAGCAGCCUCUGUCCUCUUCUGGGGCAGAAAUCAAGGAAGAAGAAUGGACACAGAUGCUAGCCACCUGCUGGAAGAGGCUUGGGGACUGCCUGGGCCAGGAGUUCUGGUCCCCGGGAAGCCGGGUUUAGGCUGUCUUCCUGCCUCAAAUCUCUUUGAAUGGUGUCUCAUCCUUGCAGACCUCCUGAUUCCAUGUCUAUCCAUCUACCACAGGCAGAACCCACUUGAGCAGCUGCCCUCAUUCUGCCCAUGAGUUACAGGGGUUCAGUCAGUCAGUCACCUGAGGCUGCAGAAUCUGUAUCUUUCUGUAGGUUUGUAAUUCAUUCCUUCCCACCCCACUGACCUAUUUUCUGGAAAAAGGAAAUCACCAUCAAACAAAAGACCACUGUGCUGGUUAGUUUUUUUGUUAAGUUGACACAAACUAGAGUCACCUGGAAAGAGGAAACUUCAAUUAAGGAAUGGUUUCUAUUGAUUGGCCUUUGGCCAUGUCUGUGAGGCAUUUUCUUGAUUGCUGAAUGAUAUGGGAGGGCCCAGCGCACU
Long non-coding RNA from Nannospalax galili (Upper Galilee mountains blind mole rat), 1164 nucleotides. RefSeq lists it as uncharacterized. NCBI's taxonomy places the organism in Eukaryota, Metazoa, Chordata, Mammalia, Rodentia, Spalacidae. The record is from RefSeq and is a predicted model, not a curated record. The transcript is spliced from 3 exons.